AGUGAACGCUGGCGGCAGGCCUAACACAUGCAAGUCGAACGGCAGCACAAGAGUGCUUGCUCUCUGGGUGGCGAGUGGCGGACGGGUGAGGUAUGCAUCGGAAUCUGCCCAUUUGUGGGGGAUAACCUCGGGAAACCGGGACUAAUACCGCAUACGACCUACGGGUGAAAGCUGGGGAUCUUCGGACCUUGCGCAGAUGGAUGAGCCGAUGCCGGUUUAGCUAGUUGGAGGGGUAAAGGCCCACCAAGGCGACGAUCCGUAGCUGGUCUGAGAGGAUGAUCAGCCACACUGGGACUGAGACACGGCCCAGACUCCUACGGGAGGCAGCAGUGGGGAAUAUUGGACAAUGGGCGCAAGCCUGAUCCAGCCAUGCCGCGUGUGUGAAGAAGGCCUUCGGGUUGUAAAGCACUUUUGUUGGGGAAGAAAAGCAGCCGGUUAAUACCCGGUUGUCAUGACGGUACCCAAAGAAUAGGCACCGGCUAACUUCGUG
RNAcentral lists this ribosomal RNA (490 nucleotides) under uncultured bacterium. Its description in RNAcentral is "partial 16S ribosomal RNA". It matches the Rfam family "Bacterial small subunit ribosomal RNA", at positions 29 to 507 of the family's 1533-position model. The record is from RNAcentral.